Molecule: long non-coding RNA, 527 nt
Organism: Gambusia affinis (western mosquitofish)
Lineage: Eukaryota; Metazoa; Chordata; Actinopteri; Cyprinodontiformes; Poeciliidae
Exons: 3
Source: RefSeq, a predicted model, not a curated record
GAAACCGUCAGGUUCACUUCCUGCUUCUGCAGUUUUAUCUGCGUCUGAAACUAAAACGAUUCAGUUUAAAUCAGAUUUCUUUACUUUGAUUCUUAAUUGGGGUUCAGCAGAGUAGGAAUGAGCCGUUAGCAUCAUAUCUGCAGUAGAGGGAAGUCAGUUUGUAAUUGAGAAAUUCUCCUUAUUUAAUGCAUAGCUCUGGAUUUUUGCUUUUGUUGGAUGUUUAUAAGGAGUUCAUAUCUUACCUGAAGUAGAUAGAUGACAUUUUCAUUUAGUGUAAAUCCAGAUCAGUUAGUGCUGGAGGAUGUAGCUAGGCUAGCUAGCAUGUAGCCCCACAAAGGCUAAAGGGAAGAUUGUUGGUGGUGCACCGCCUCCACUGUGAGUUUAUCCUGUCUGGAGCUUCAGCCUGAUCUGACAGAAAGUUUUUACUGCAGCAGAAUCCCGUCUGAUGGAUCUGGUGUGAAGCCUCACCCGUCCGGCUGCUCAGAGAGGAAACCGGGCCUCCCAGGUUCCCGUCUGGUUUCUGUGGC